RNAcentral lists this non-coding RNA (146 nucleotides) under Monilinia amelanchieris. RNAcentral also lists the same sequence under 2 other names. The record is from RNAcentral. Lineage: Eukaryota; Fungi; Ascomycota; Leotiomycetes; Helotiales; Sclerotiniaceae.
CAGAGUUCAUGCCCGAGAGGGUAGACCUCCCACCCUUGUGUAUCAUUACUUUGUUGCUUUGGCGCGCCGCCCUCGGGCCUCGCGCGCGCGCCAGAGGAUAACCAAACUCUUUUUAUCAACGUCGUCUGAGCACUAUAUAAUAGUUA